GCUAAAAUAGCAAAGUGGUUAAUGCAAGAAAUCUAAGAUUUCUUUAUCAAGGGUUCGAAUCCUUUUUUUAGUU
This 73-nucleotide transfer RNA is filed under the name Ophidiaster granifer. RNAcentral describes it as "tRNA-Leu". It matches the Rfam family "tRNA". From Rfam's summary of the family: Transfer RNA (tRNA) molecules are approximately 80 nucleotides in length. Their secondary structure includes four short double-helical elements and three loops (D, anti-codon, and T loops). Further hydrogen bonds mediate the characteristic L-shaped molecular structure. tRNAs have two regions of fundamental functional importance: the anti-codon, which is responsible for specific mRNA codon recognition, and the 3' end, to which the tRNAs corresponding amino acid is attached (by aminoacyl-tRNA synthetases). tRNAs cope with the degeneracy of the genetic code in two manners: having more than one tRNA (with a specific anti-codon) for a particular amino acid; and 'wobble' base-pairing, i.e. permitting non-standard base-pairing at the 3rd anti-codon position. The record is from RNAcentral. Lineage: Eukaryota; Metazoa; Echinodermata; Asteroidea; Valvatida; Ophidiasteridae.